GAAAAAUAAAUAUUAAAAAUUCUCUCUCUCUCUCUCUCUCCCUCUCUCUUAAAAAAAAAAAAAAAGAAAAGAAAACCAGUGUCCUCAGGGACUGAGGCUGAAAGCCAACUGGAGUCAUAUUGAAUAGCAGCAAGUGGAGGCUGUAGAUCUGCUGAGGCUUAGCCUCCACACAGUCUCUCACAGAGGACUGCAGUUCUUUAGGAAUUAGAGGUAUCCCCAGUACCCAUAAGGUAAGUCAGGGACAUGGAGGAGUAUUCCCUCAUCCCCACAGGACAGAGAAGCCCCUCAGCAAAUCAGAACCUGGAGCCCAGGCCUCCUGAAUCCUGCUCUAUCUGUGGAAAUACUUCUGGAGUGAAAAGUGGGCCAUACGGGGAACUCAGCAAGACUCACCUGAUGCGGUGCUUCUCAACAGUCUUUUAGAGUAAAAUAUUAUCCAAGGCAUGAUGAAAGGUUUUGAGAGAUGUCUGUGAAGAAGCCAGAGUCAGUCGACUCAAAUGAAAUUGAAACAUGGGUGUUCCUUCAUGAGUUGAGCCAGAUUCAUCCCAGAAUCCUCCCCGCUAAUUUGUACUAAAUGAACCAGUUCUAUUUGGAGAGGUCGUAUGCUUGGUUGAAAACCCUCAUCUCUCAAGUUCACUUACAGAUGUUCACCAUGCUAGAUAAUAAAUAUUGGUAGAACUCUCUGGGAAGAGUAUCUGUCUCUGAACAAAAAGGCAAAGGCCCAAGAAGAAACCACACGUUGGCCUCACCCUCUUCUUCCUGCCUGGAGAAGGGAGGCCUGGGAUUGAAGUAAUUGUCUCACCAUGCUGAAAAGGAAUGCCUCAUGUUUGAGCAGGGUUCUCUGUAACUUUCCUGACAAUGUCCCUGGAUCAUCUGCCUCCUAACUUUCGUUAUAUGACAAAAAAAAAAAAAAGCCUCAUUUGAGUCUCUGUAACAGGGAGCCAAACGCAAUCUUAAUUCCCAUUUUAGAUUACCAAAGCAGGUGACUCUCUGUGGCGGCAGACUAGGCCAACCUAUAUCCAGUUCCCAUUCUGGGUUUGUACCUAAACUCACUUGCUCUGAGGUUGGAAACUGGCCUGACUUCAAAUUGGCCCACCCAUUUAUCAGGGAAAAAACAGCAUCUGAAUUCUCCCAGAAGAACUCUCAGUGGACUUGGGUGCUCAUCUCAGACCGUCUGAGCUCUUUCUUGAUUAUUCAUCUGUAUCACUCUAGGGGAAUAUGAAGAAUAAAAUCCCAUCAAUUGUUUUUACUUGUUCCAAGAGAGAAUAUGGUUCUCAUAAAAAUGCUUCUUGGCUGCAAAUGCCUGGAGAAUUAAAAACUUGAUCCUCCCAAACCCAGGGAUAAGGUCUUCUCUCUUUAGGUAUCAAACCAUUGAGGGUCCAAGGGUGCUCCCCACUGAAAGCCCUGGUAGGUAGCUUGUGAUUCUUGAGCCUUCAGAAUCUGCAAGAUCUUAAAACUUUGUGAAGAGAAAACAAUGAAUAUGUCAUAUAUCAUUGAGGUGUCUCUCAAUUCAUCCAACAUCUUUUUGUUUGUUUUUGCAGUGCCUUGUACACAAGAACCCACAAUCUGGCACACUAGGACAAGUGCUCUAUCUUUGAGCUACAUCCCAGCCCCAUCGACAUUUUUUUUUUUUAGUGCCCUACCAUGUGAACUUUCACAAAAUGAAAAAAUGUCUUUAAAAGAUGUCUGCAAAGAGAUCUGAAUUGGAGGUAAUAUCAAUAAUGCAAGCAUAAAAUAUCAAUACCAGGAAUGGCCCUCUUCCUCAAAGGUAAAAAAGCAAUGACAAUCUAAUGGAAUCUGAAAGGAAGUUGACAAAAAAGUCCACAUUUUCAAAAUAAUUACCUGAAAUAUGGUUGACAGUAUUGUUACAAAGGUUAUUUUCCUAAGAGUUUUUGCUUUGAGACAUUAGCCAAUGAUAGGAGAAAGCUUCCUAAUUGGUAAGAUAUUUAAAAAUUAAGCAUGAUGCUUAAAGUCAUUCUAAUGUUUAAUCCAGUAUUUAACAAUAUUUCAUUAAAAAUAAUGAUAAGCACAUACAAGAAUCUUCUGGUAUUUCUUAGUAAUUGCAAAACACAAAAAAACCACAUGGCCUUAGGGAACCAUUUGCUUUUUCUACCAUGAAAAAUAGCUGAAAUAAUACAUGAAACAAUGUGGCAAUAAAAAGGGCAAUCUUUUGUCGGCAAGCAUUAUUGAAAGAUGCAUAGAAAACAUUGCUGGGAAAUUCAAGAAAUGAAUAUUAGGACAGAGUAUGCCUUAUAGGAAACACGCUAUAGAUUUGAUUAAAAGUAUAGAAAUUUCUAACAUCUCAGUUAAUGGAAUUUGCUACAUUUUAUUGAAAUAUAUGAGAAAGAGUUAUUUUUGAGCCAUUAAAGGAAAGGUGUGUGGGAGAAAAAUAAAUGACUUCUUUAAAAAUAAUGUUUUAUGGGAAAUUUAUUGACUGGAAUAAAAAGAGGGGCCUCAUAUGGUUUCCAAGAUAGGACCACACUUGAUAUUUAUUCACAGCCAAGAUGUUAAAGCUAGGCAUGCAAAAAACAUUGUGAUGUCAUUUAUU
Molecule: long non-coding RNA, 2545 nt
Filed under: Marmota monax (woodchuck)
Lineage: Eukaryota; Metazoa; Chordata; Mammalia; Rodentia; Sciuridae
Source: RNAcentral